AUUGAACGCUGGCGGCAUGCCUUACACAUGCAAGUCGAACGGCAGCACGGGAGUAAUCCUGGUGGCGAGUGGCGAACGGGUGAGUAAUGUAUCGGAACGUGCCCAGUCGUGGGGGAUAACGAAGCGAAAGCUGUGCUAAUACCGCAUACGAUCUACGGAUGAAAGCGGGGGAUCGCAAGACCUCGCGCGAUUGGAGCGGCCGAUAUCAGAUUAGCUAGUUGGUGGAGUAAAAGCUUACCAAGGCGACGAUCUGUAGCUGGUCUGAGAGGACGACCAGCCACACUGGAACUGAGACACGGUCCAGACUCCUACGGGAGGCAGCAGUGGGGAAUUUUGGACAAUGGGCGCAAGCCUGAUCCAGCAAUGCCGCGUGCAGGAUGAAGGCCUUCGGGUUGUAAACUGCUUUUGUACGGAGCGAAAAGGCUCUCUCUAAUACGGGGGGCUCGUGACGGUACCGUAAGAAUAAGCACCGGCUAACUACGUGCCAGCCGCCGCUGUAA
Molecule: ribosomal RNA, 500 nt
Filed under: uncultured bacterium
Lineage: Bacteria
Description: partial 16S ribosomal RNA
Rfam family: Bacterial small subunit ribosomal RNA
Source: RNAcentral